Molecule: non-coding RNA, 125 nt
Organism: Triticum aestivum (bread wheat)
Lineage: Eukaryota; Viridiplantae; Streptophyta; Magnoliopsida; Poales; Poaceae
Source: Rfam
CAAAUACUCCCUCCGUCCGAAAUUACUUGUCAUCAAAAUGGAUGAAAAUGGAUGUAUCUAGAACUAAAAUACAUCUAGACACAUCCAUUUCAAUGACAAGUAUUUCCGGACGGAGGGAGUAGGAA